UACAGAGGGUGCGAGCGUUGUCCGGAAUCACUGGGCGUAAAGGGCGCGUAGGCGGCCUGGCAAGUCUGUGGUGAAAGCUCAGGGCUCAACUCUGAGUCGGCCAUAGAUACUGCGAGGCUCGAGUCGACUAGAGGCAGAUGGAAUUCCGGGUGUAGCGGUGGAAUGCGUAGAGAUCCGGAAGAACACCGGUGGCGAAGGCGGUCUGCUGGGGUCGAACUGACGCUGAUGCGCGACAGCGUGGGGAUCAAACAGG
Molecule: ribosomal RNA, 253 nt
Filed under: uncultured bacterium
Lineage: Bacteria
Description: partial 16S ribosomal RNA
Rfam family: Bacterial small subunit ribosomal RNA
Source: RNAcentral